CUGGUGUAGCGGUGGAAUGCGCAGAUAUCAGGAGGAACACCGAUGGCGAAGGCAGAUCUCUGGGCCGUAACUGACGCUGAGGAGCGAAAGCAUGGGGAGCGAACAGGAUUAGAUACCCUGGUAGUCCAUGCCGUAAACGUUGGGAACUAGAUGUGGGGGCCAUUCCACGGUCUCCGUGUCGCAGCUAACGCAUUAAGUUCCCCGCCUGGGGAGUACGGCCGCAAGGCUAAAACUCAAAGGAAUUGACGGGGGCCCGCACAAGCGGCGGAGCAUGCGGAUUAAUUCGAUGCAACGCGAAGAACCUUACCAAGGCUUGACAUAUACCGGAAACGUCCAGAGAUGGUCGCCCCGCAAGGUCGGUAUACAGGUGGUGCAUGGUUGUCGUCAGCUCGUGUCGUGAGAUGUUGGGUUAAGUCCCGCAACGAGCGCAACCCUCGUUCUAUGUUGCCAGCACGUUAUGGUGGGAACUCAUAGGAGACUGCCGGGGUCAACUCGGAGGAAGGUGGGGAUGACGUCAAAUCAUCAUGCCCCUUAUGUCUUGGGCUUCACGCAUGCUACAAUGGCCGGUACAAAGGGCUGCGAUACCGUAAGGUGGAGCGAAUCCCAAAAAGCCGGU
RNAcentral lists this ribosomal RNA (616 nucleotides) under Frigoribacterium sp. NQ21. RNAcentral's name for it is "bacterial SSU rRNA". It matches the Rfam family "Bacterial small subunit ribosomal RNA", at positions 670 to 1286 of the family's 1533-position model. The record is from RNAcentral. Lineage: Bacteria; Bacillati; Actinomycetota; Actinomycetes; Micrococcales; Microbacteriaceae.